Molecule: small nuclear RNA, 107 nt
Filed under: Cervus hanglu yarkandensis (Yarkand deer)
Lineage: Eukaryota; Metazoa; Chordata; Mammalia; Artiodactyla; Cervidae
Source: RNAcentral
GUGCUCAUUUUGGCAGCACAUAUACUAAAAUUGGAAUGAUACAGAGAAGAUUGGCAUGGUCCCUGCACAAGGAUGACAUGCAAAUUCGUGAAGUGUUCCACAUUUUU